ACCCUUUAAUGUUUGAUGUUCUAACGUGGACCCGUGAUCCGGGUUGCGGACAGUGUCUGGUGGGUAGUUUGACUGGGGCGGUCUCCUCCUAAAGAGUAACGGAGGAGCACGAAGGUUGGCUAAUCCUGGUCGGACAUCAGGAGGUUAGUGCAAUGGCAUAAGCCAGCUUGACUGCGAGCGUGACGGCGCGAGCAGGUGCGAAAGCAGGUCAUAGUGAUCCGGUGGUUCUGAAUGGAAGGGCCAUCGCUCAACGGAUAAAAGGUACUCCGGGGAUAACAGGCUGAUACCGCCCAAGAGUUCAUAUCGACGGCGGUGUUUGGCACCUCGAUGUCGGCUCAUCACAUCCUGGGGCUGAAGUAGGUCCCAAGGGUAUGGCUGUUCGCCAUUUAAAGUGGUACGCGAGCUGGGUUUAGAACGUCGUGAGACAGUUCGGUCCCUAUCUGCCGUGGGCGCUGGAGAACUGAGGGGGGCUGCUCCUAGUACGAGAGGACCGGAGUGGACGCAUCACUGGUGUUCGGGUUGUCAUGCCAAUGGCACUGCCCGGUAGCUAAAUGCGGAAGAGAUAAGUG
Molecule: ribosomal RNA, 569 nt
Filed under: Salmonella enterica
Lineage: Bacteria; Pseudomonadati; Pseudomonadota; Gammaproteobacteria; Enterobacterales; Enterobacteriaceae
Also listed under: 1 other name
Description: partial 23S ribosomal RNA
Rfam family: Bacterial large subunit ribosomal RNA
Source: RNAcentral